CCCUUAGAUGUCCUGGGCCGCACGCGCGCUACACUGAGUGUCUGAGAUACGAGUCUGCCUGGUCCGGCAAGGUCUAGGUAAUCGCUAAAAGACACAUCAUGCUUGGGAUAGAUUAUUGCAAAUAUUAAUCUUGAACGAGGAAUUCCUAGUAAGCGCAAGUCAACAGCUUGCGUUGAUUACGUCCCUGCCCUUUGUACACACCGCCCGUCGCUACUACUGAUUGGAUGUUUAAGCGAGGUUCUCGAACUGCUAGCGACUUAGCUUCGGUGAGGUCGCAGUGUGGGAAGAGAACCUAGCUUUGGUGUCUAGAGGAAGUAAAAGUCGUAACA
Molecule: ribosomal RNA, 329 nt
Filed under: uncultured eukaryote
Lineage: Eukaryota
Description: partial 18S ribosomal RNA
Rfam family: Eukaryotic small subunit ribosomal RNA
Source: RNAcentral